GAUGAACGCUGGCGGCGUGCCUAAUACAUGCAAGUCGAGCGAACGGACGAGAAGCUUGCUUCUCUGAUGUUAGCGGCGGACGGGUGAGUAACACGUGGAUAACCUACCUAUAAGACUGGGAUAACUUCGGGAAACCGGAGCUAAUACCGGAUAAUAUUUUGAACCGCAUGGUUCAAAAGUGAAAGACGGUCUUGCUGUCACUUAUAGAUGGAUCCGCGCUGCAUUAGCUAGUUGGUAAGGUAACGGCUUACCAAGGCAACGAUGCAUAGCCGACCUGAGAGGGUGAUCGGCCACACUGGAACUGAGACACGGUCCAGACUCCUACGGGAGGCAGCAGUAGGGAAUCUUCCGCAAUGGGCGAAAGCCUGACGGAGCAACGCCGCGUGAGUGAUGAAGGUCUUCGGAUCGUAAACCUCUGUUAUUAGGGAAGAACAUAUGUGUAAGUAACUGUGCACAUCUUGACGGUACAUAAUCAGAAAGCCACGGCUAACUACGUG
This 497-nucleotide ribosomal RNA is filed under the name uncultured bacterium. RNAcentral's name for it is "partial 16S ribosomal RNA". It matches the Rfam family "Bacterial small subunit ribosomal RNA", at positions 28 to 507 of the family's 1533-position model. The record is from RNAcentral.